This 465-nucleotide ribosomal RNA is filed under the name uncultured bacterium. RNAcentral's name for it is "partial 16S ribosomal RNA". It matches the Rfam family "Bacterial small subunit ribosomal RNA", at positions 28 to 507 of the family's 1533-position model. The record is from RNAcentral.
GACGAACGCUGGCGGCGUGCUUAACACAUGCAAGUCGAACGGAAAGGCCCCUUUGGGGGUACUCGAGUGGCGAACGGGUGAGUAACACGUGCGUAACCUGCCCUUGACUUCGGGAUAACUUCAGGAAACUGGGGCUAAUACCGGAUCGGAAUCCUUGCUGCAUGGUGGGGGUUGGAAAGCUUCGGCGGUUUUGGAUGUACUCGCGGCUUAUCAGCUUGUUGGUGGGGUAGUGGCUUACCAAGGCUUUGUCGGGUAGCCGGCCUGAGAGGGCGACCGGCCACAUUGGGACUGAGAGACGGCCCAGACUGCUACGGGAGGCAGCAGUGGGGAAUAUUGCACAAUGGGCGGAAGCCUGAUGCAGCAACGCCGCGUGCGGGAUGACGGCCUUCGGGUUGUAAACCGCUUUCAGCAGGGGCGAAGCUUGUGGUGACGGUACCUGCAGAAGAAGCACCGGCUAACUACGUG